CCUACGGGUGGCAGCAGUGGGGAAUAUUGCACAAUGGGGGAAACUCUGAUGCAGCGACGCCGCGUGAGUGAGGAAGUAUUUAGGAAUGUAAAGCUCUAUUAGUAGGGAAGAAAAUGACGGUACCUGACUAAGAAGCCCCGGCUAACGCCGUGCAAGCAGCGGUGGUAACACGGAGGGGGCAGGCGUUAUCCGGAUUGACUGGGUUUAAAGGGAGCGUAGACGGCUAAACAAGUAAGAAGUGAAAACCCAGGGCUCAACCUUGGGACUGCUUUUGAAACUGAGGAGCGAGAGUGCAGGAGAGGUAGGCGGAAUUCCUGGUGUAGCGGUGAAAUGCUUAGAUAUUAGGAAGAACACCAGUUGCGAAGGCGGCUUACUGGACUAUAACUGACGUUGAGGCACGAAAGCGUGGGGAGCAAACAGGAUUAGAUACCCCAGUAGUC
Molecule: ribosomal RNA, 440 nt
Filed under: uncultured bacterium
Lineage: Bacteria
Description: partial 16S ribosomal RNA
Rfam family: Bacterial small subunit ribosomal RNA
Source: RNAcentral